CAUUAAGUGGCUGAAAGCAAGCAAUGAUCUCUUAAAUCAAAAAAUAAUAUAUUAGCAAAUAUUCUUAAUG
Molecule: transfer RNA, 70 nt
Filed under: Gilpinia sp.
Lineage: Eukaryota; Metazoa; Arthropoda; Insecta; Hymenoptera; Diprionidae
Description: tRNA-Lys
Source: RNAcentral